UACGUAGGCAGCAAGCGUUGUUCGGAAUUCCUGGGCGUAAAGAGUGUGUAGGCGGUGCUCUAAGUUCGGUGUGAAAUCUCCCGGCUCAACUGGGAGGGUGCGCCGAAAACUGGGGUGCUGGAGCGCGGGAGAGGAAAGCGGAAUUCCUGGUGUAGCGGUGAAAUGCGUAGAUAUCAGGAGGAACACCGGCGGUGUAGACGGCUUUCUGGACCGUAGCUGACGCUGAGACACGAAAGCGUGGGGAGCGAACAGG
RNAcentral lists this ribosomal RNA (253 nucleotides) under uncultured bacterium. RNAcentral describes it as "partial 16S ribosomal RNA". It matches the Rfam family "Bacterial small subunit ribosomal RNA", at positions 524 to 776 of the family's 1533-position model. The record is from RNAcentral.